CACGAGGCCAGGCCCCAGCACCUCUCGCUUCUCAGCUCCUCCCCCUGCACCAUCUGCUUGCUCCGGGUUCCACACUGGCUCGGCUCCCGUGCCUCCUGACUCGACCCGCCGACCUCCUCCUGGAGCCCUUCUCGCACUACCGCUUCCUGACCAGCGGGCCGCCAUCCACCGCCAGCCAGGAGCGGGAGCCGUUCCAGGAGACCCUGGAGUCCCUGCGGGUGCUGGGCUUCACGCCCGAGGAGAUCACCUGGUGGCAGAGUAUGGUGGCUUUGCAUGGACUCCGUCUUUCAACUGAGCCUCAGGGGCUCCCGUGGUGACUUCGAGCUGCGUCUUAUCCCGAGCUUGCCCUGGCACCUCAGGAGGCGAGGAGCUGUGGUCAGCCAACAGUGGCCCCACCUUGCUUGCUCUGCUGCAUCUCACUUCCCAACCAGGGUUGUGCAGUCCCCAGCCAGCCCUGAAGGUGUCUGCAGCUGGCAUCUGGCAGCAAAUCCAGACCCUGUGGGUGGCAGGGAGGGGUUUCCAGCCUUCCUGCCACUGCCUGCUGGCUGGGGGUGCAGACAGAGCUGGGAGUUUUGCAUUUCACACACAAAAAUGUUGCAGUAAAAUUGUGAAUGUGGCCAAAGGUCACCUGAGGAGUCCCCCCAGCCCCUGCACCUGGUUCCCAUGCUUCUCCUUCCAGGUAGAUUUUGGAUGGAUGAGAACAGACAGGGACAGCCAUCCCUGGUACCCCGGAGAUCAGCUCAAGGGCCCGCUAGAAUACCAGGCGCUAUGGGUGCCCAGGUCCCUUCAAUAAAACAGCACGGUGUUUGCACGUACCUUGCGCAGUCCUCCCAGGUACUCUGAAGUACCCCUGUAUGAUUUAUAGCACCUAAUGCAACAUGAAUGGUA
This 888-nucleotide long non-coding RNA is filed under the name Heterocephalus glaber (naked mole-rat). Its description in RNAcentral is "lncRNA (ENSHGLG00000048660.1)". The record is from RNAcentral. Lineage: Eukaryota; Metazoa; Chordata; Mammalia; Rodentia; Bathyergidae.